GUGGGGAAUAUUGGACAAUGGGCGAAAGCCUGAUCCAGCCAUGCCGCGUGUGUGAAGAAGGUCUUCGGAUUGUAAAGCACUUUAAGUUGGGAGGAAGGGUAGUAACCUAAUACGUUGCUACUUUGACGUUACCGACAGAAUGAGCACCGGCUAACUUCGUGCCAGCAGCCGCGGUAAUACGAAGGGUGCAAGCGUUAAUCGGAAUUACUGGGCGUAAAGCGCGCGUAGGUGGUUCAGUAAGUUGGAAGUGAAAUCCCCGGGCUCAACCUGGGAACUGCUUUCAAAACUGCUGAGCUAGAGUACGGUAGAGGGUAGUGGAAUUUCCUGUGUAGCGGUGAAAUGCGUAGAUAUAGGAAGGAACACCAGUGGCGAAGGCGACUACCUGGACUGAUACUGACACUGAGGUGCGAAAGCGUGGGGAGCAAACAGGAUUAGAUACCCGGGUAGUCC
RNAcentral lists this ribosomal RNA (450 nucleotides) under uncultured bacterium. RNAcentral describes it as "partial 16S ribosomal RNA". It matches the Rfam family "Bacterial small subunit ribosomal RNA", at positions 354 to 796 of the family's 1533-position model. The record is from RNAcentral.